Molecule: transfer RNA, 73 nt
Filed under: Ignavibacteriales bacterium
Lineage: Bacteria; Pseudomonadati; Ignavibacteriota; Ignavibacteria; Ignavibacteriales
Description: tRNA-Gln
Rfam family: tRNA
About the family: Transfer RNA (tRNA) molecules are approximately 80 nucleotides in length. Their secondary structure includes four short double-helical elements and three loops (D, anti-codon, and T loops). Further hydrogen bonds mediate the characteristic L-shaped molecular structure. tRNAs have two regions of fundamental functional importance: the anti-codon, which is responsible for specific mRNA codon recognition, and the 3' end, to which the tRNAs corresponding amino acid is attached (by aminoacyl-tRNA synthetases). tRNAs cope with the degeneracy of the genetic code in two manners: having more than one tRNA (with a specific anti-codon) for a particular amino acid; and 'wobble' base-pairing, i.e. permitting non-standard base-pairing at the 3rd anti-codon position.
Source: RNAcentral
UGCCCUGUGGUGUAAUUGGCAACACGUUUGACUCUGGAUCAAAAGUCUCUAGGUUCGAGCCCUAGCAGGGCAG